Molecule: ribosomal RNA, 497 nt
Filed under: uncultured bacterium
Lineage: Bacteria
Description: partial 16S ribosomal RNA
Rfam family: Bacterial small subunit ribosomal RNA
Source: RNAcentral
GACGAACGCUGGCGGCGUGCCUAAUACAUGCAAGUUGAGCGCUGAAGGUUGGUACUUGUACCAACUGGAUGAGCAGCGAACGGGUGAGUAACGCGUGGGGAAUCUGCCUUUGAGCGGGGGACAACAUUUGGAAACGAAUGCUAAUACCGCAUAAAAACUUUAAACACAAGUUUUAAGUUUGAAAGAUGCAAUUGCAUCACUCAAAGAUGAUCCCGCGUUGUAUUAGCUAGUUGGUGAGGUAAAGGCUCACCAAGGCGGUGAUACAUAGCCGACCUGAGAGGGUGAUAGGCCACAUUGGGAGGGGGACACGGCCAAAACUACUACGGGAGGCAGCAGUAGGGAAUCUUCGGCAAUGGAAGAAAGUCUGACCGAGCAACGCCGCGUGAGUGAAGAAGGUGUUCGGAUCGUAAAACUCUGUUGGUAGAGAAGAACGUUGGUGAGAGUGGAAAGCUCAUCAAGUGACGGUAACUACACAGAAAGGGACGGCUAACUACGUG